CCCAAGAAGGCGGCCGCCGGCACGUGCACGCUGAUAAAGGCGUCGUCUUCCUCCAACUCGUCCUGCCCGGCGCCCCCGGGCCCGUCGGGCAGCUGCGGCUGAACGCAGGCGACUGAGGAUGCAGCCCCUGAUUUAAAUGCACACCCGAGAGUGCGUCAGAACCCAGGCUCGAACAUCAAACGUGUGGCCAGACUAAUUGACACAUCUCCAUUUGAUGGUGCUGUCACUUUUCAUCUCUUUCUUAGCAAAGGCCAACAUCAAUUUUUACUUCGGCCCAGAAACGUGCUCCGUUUUCCAUGAAGACCAAGGAAGAAGAGAAUGAUGUCUCCUUCAUCUCAACCUAUAAGGCUCGCUUCAAAUGAUACUUUCUCCACAGACCCUCCCUGACUUCCACUGUGUGAACACUGAGUUUUUCCCCAUCUCACAAGACGCUGCCCCCGUUCCUCCUUUUCCUGGAUUGGAGUCAGGACACCUGGGUCUCAUCCAUGUUCUGCAGUGAAUUUCCCUGUUUAAAGGUAGCAGCCCCGUGCUCGUGGCUCAUCUGACUGCAGGGUGAUGGCUGGUGAAUACAGACAAGAUGCAAGGACCUGGAUUCGCUAUCAAAUAAUUGGGUGUUAUCUGGUCAGAUUCCUGAAUGCAGAAGUUCUAAAGAACCACGAGUAAAAUCUGCUCCUGACUUAGAAAAUCAGAUCUGAUUCUGGGCUUAAUAACCAAAACAAUUCAGGGGAACUGCUGGUAAUUUCAAAUUAGUUAAAAGGAGUCUCAGGGGCUUCCCUGGUGGCGCAGUGGUUGAGAAUCUGCCUGCUAAUGCAGGGGACACGGGUUCGAGCCCUGGUCUGGGAAGAUCCCACAUGCCACGGAGCAGCUGGGCCCAUGAGCCACAAUUGCUGAGCCUGCGCGUCUGGAGCCUGUGCCCCGUGACGGGAGGGGCCGCGAUAGAGAAAGGCCCGCGCACCGCGAUGAAGAGCGGUCCCCGCACCGCGAUGAAGAGUGGCCCCCGCUUGCCGCAACUGGAGAAAGCCCUCGCACGAACCGAAGACCCAACACAGCCAAAAAUAAACAAAUAAAUAAAUAAAUAAAUAAGAAAAUCCUUUAAAAAAAAAAAAAAAAGGAGUCUCAGAAUAUCCAUUUAGUUCCCAUUUCUUAUAUGAGUUAGAAAUCCCAGACUUAUCCUGCUCCCCAUCUUGUAGCAUCUUAAAUUCCAGGUAUUAAUCAUAGUUGAGAAAAAAAUGCCACUAACAGAUCAAAAUGAUUUAUAGAUCAGUUUCCAUCUUAAUAAAUAUUUUAAGGAAAAAGAUUAUACACAUAUGAAAAUUAUGUUAAAAUAUAAAUAUAUGCAAAUAUUAACUAAGGCUAUACUCAAAAUUAUUCUUUUUCCUUUAGAAUUUUGAAUAACUCGCUGUCAACUACACAAGGUCCACACUAAAUAAAGCUAACUUCCUUAUAAAUAAAACAUUGAAUUCAAAUAGGACAUCAAUAUCAAUUACUUUAUAAAUAAGACAUCAG
Molecule: long non-coding RNA, 1506 nt
Organism: Balaenoptera acutorostrata (minke whale)
Lineage: Eukaryota; Metazoa; Chordata; Mammalia; Artiodactyla; Balaenopteridae
Exons: 6
Source: RefSeq, a predicted model, not a curated record